This 1274-nucleotide ribosomal RNA is filed under the name Mycolicibacterium neoaurum. RNAcentral describes it as "bacterial SSU rRNA". It matches the Rfam family "Bacterial small subunit ribosomal RNA", at positions 96 to 1382 of the family's 1533-position model. The record is from RNAcentral. Lineage: Bacteria; Bacillati; Actinomycetota; Actinomycetes; Mycobacteriales; Mycobacteriaceae.
UGGCGAACGGGUGAGUAACACGUGGGUGAUCUGCCCUGCACUUUGGGAUAAGCCUGGGAAACUGGGUCUAAUACCGAAUAUGAUCAUCGGCUUCAUGGUCGGUGGUGGAAAGCUUUUGCGGUGUGGGAUGGGCCCGCGGCCUAUCAGCUUGUUGGUGGGGUAAUGGCCUACCAAGGCGACGACGGGUAGCCGGCCUGAGAGGGUGACCGGCCACACUGGGACUGAGAUACGGCCCAGACUCCUACGGGAGGCAGCAGUGGGGAAUAUUGCACAAUGGGCGCAAGCCUGAUGCAGCGACGCCGCGUGAGGGAUGACGGCCUUCGGGUUGUAAACCUCUUUCAGCACAGACGAAGCGCAAGUGACGGUAUGUGCAGAAGAAGGACCGGCCAACUACGUGCCAGCAGCCGCGGUAAUACGUAGGGUCCGAGCGUUGUCCGGAAUUACUGGGCGUAAAGAGCUCGUAGGUGGUUUGUCGCGUUGUUCGUGAAAACUCACAGCUUAACUGUGGGCGUGCGGGCGAUACGGGCAGACUAGAGUACUGCAGGGGAGACUGGAAUUCCUGGUGUAGCGGUGGAAUGCGCAGAUAUCAGGAGGAACACCGGUGGCGAAGGCGGGUCUCUGGGCAGUAACUGACGCUGAGGAGCGAAAGCGUGGGGAGCGAACAGGAUUAGAUACCCUGGUAGUCCACGCCGUAAACGGUGGGUACUAGGUGUGGGUUUCCUUCCUUGGGAUCCGUGCCGUAGCUAACGCAUUAAGUACCCCGCCUGGGGAGUACGGCCGCAAGGCUAAAACUCAAAGGAAUUGACGGGGGCCCGCACAAGCGGCGGAGCAUGUGGAUUAAUUCGAUGCAACGCGAAGAACCUUACCUGGGUUUGACAUGCACAGGACGCUGGUAGAGAUAUCAGUUCCCUUGUGGCCUGUGUGCAGGUGGUGCAUGGCUGUCGUCAGCUCGUGUCGUGAGAUGUUGGGUUAAGUCCCGCAACGAGCGCAACCCUUGUCCUAUGUUGCCAGCGGGUUAUGCCGGGGACUCGUAGGAGACUGCCGGGGUCAACUCGGAGGAAGGUGGGGAUGACGUCAAGUCAUCAUGCCCCUUAUGUCCAGGGCUUCACACAUGCUACAAUGGCCGGUACAAAGGGCUGCGAUGCCGUGAGGUGGAGCGAAUCCUUUCAAAGCCGGUCUCAGUUCGGAUCGGGGUCUGCAACUCGACCCCGUGAAGUCGGAGUCGCUAGUAAUCGCAGAUCAGCAACGCUGCGGUGAAUACGUUCCCGGGCCUA